GCUUACGGCCAUACCACCCUGAGAACGCCCGAUCUCGUCCCAUCUCGGAAGCUAAGCAGGGUCGGGCCUGGUUAGUACUUGGAUGGGAGACCGCCUGGGAAUACCAGGUGCUGUAAGCA
Ribosomal RNA from Takifugu rubripes (torafugu), 119 nucleotides. The record is from Ensembl. NCBI's taxonomy places the organism in Eukaryota, Metazoa, Chordata, Actinopteri, Tetraodontiformes, Tetraodontidae.